Molecule: long non-coding RNA, 761 nt
Organism: Dreissena polymorpha
Lineage: Eukaryota; Metazoa; Mollusca; Bivalvia; Myida; Dreissenidae
Exons: 4
Source: RefSeq, a predicted model, not a curated record
AACAGCGGUUGUCGUUUAUAUCCUGAUCGAAAAGUGAUAACGCUAUAUACACUUCUUAAGUAUGGGAGCUUAAGUCCGGGUCAUAAUAAUAUUUAAACUGAAGAGCCGAGCGCAUGCAGCCACAAUUGUCUUUCUGACAGGCCAACUGCGCUUCGAUCAUUAUGAAUGCCAAAGGGAUUUCGAUCGCACUCGUUUGCUUAGCAACAUUACUGGUGACAGAAGCCAAGCUGGGGAAACAAGGCUGCUUUACAUGGAAUAAUCGUCGGUGUACGUGGAGAGAAGGAUUUGUUGGUAAAUCUUUUAACAUGUUGCUUAUUAUACAAUGCAAGAAGGCAGGAAAUUUACACAGCAUAUUUUGCCAGUACAUAGGCAAUCCACACAAUUGUGCAUGGUACAACAAACACCAGGCAGACUUCUACUGGUGCUUAGCGAAUGUAUUGAGAGAAGACACACAGAAUGUGUGUAAUCCCAACACAGUCGUGUGCGACAGGUGCCCAGACGUAGUAUUCGAUAAAAGGUAACACUUUCCACAACGUCGACGUCCCGCCUCUGAGAGAACAUCGACAACUGUUAUGACCAAGUCUUGGAAGGAUCUGUUGAUGACAACUACGUCGACAAUUACAAUCAAUGCCGUAAACUUUCCGUGUUGCUCAAUACAAUUCUGAAUCUGUUUUAGGCUUUUUUAUGUCUAUAUCUAUAAAUUUAUACUAUAAUCUUAUAUUUUACAAACUUAAACAACGGCCAAUAAAUAAAUUUCUUUA